RNAcentral lists this ribosomal RNA (470 nucleotides) under uncultured bacterium. RNAcentral's name for it is "bacterial SSU rRNA". It matches the Rfam family "Bacterial small subunit ribosomal RNA", at positions 29 to 507 of the family's 1533-position model. The record is from RNAcentral.
AACGAACGCUGGCGGCGCGUCUUAAGCAUGCAAGUCGGACGGUAAGGAAGGAGCUUGCUUCUUCCCUAGAGUGGCGGACUGGUGAGGAACGCGUGGGUGACGCACCCUUCGGACGGGGAUAGCCGGUAGAAAUACCGGGUAAUACCGGAUAAGAGCGCCUCCUUAGAGGGAGGCGGAGAAAGCGGCUUCGGCCGCGCCGGAGGAACGGCCCGCGUGCUAUUAGCUAGUUGGUAGGGUAACGGCCUACCAAGGCGACGAUCAGUAGCCGGCCUGAGAGGGUGAACGGCCACAUUGGGACUGAGACACGGCCCAGACUCCUACGGGAGGCAGCAGUGGGGAAUAUUGCACAAUGGGCGAAAGCCUGAUGCAGCAACGCCGCGUGAGGGAAGACGGUCUUCGGAUUGUAAACCUCUGUCCUUGGUGAAGAAUUAAUGACGGUAGCCUUGGAGGAAGCCACGGCUAACUACGUG